Cavia aperea (Brazilian guinea pig) is the source of this 107-nucleotide small nuclear RNA. The record is from Ensembl. NCBI's taxonomy places the organism in Eukaryota, Metazoa, Chordata, Mammalia, Rodentia, Caviidae.
GUGUUUGCUUCAGCAGCACAUAUAUUACAGUUGGAACGAUACAGAGAAGAUCAGCAUGGCCCCUGCGCAAGGAUGAUACGCAAAUUCAUGAAGCAUUCCACAUUCUU